UAGGGAAUAUUGCACAAUGGAGGAAACUCUGAUGCAGCGACGCCGCGUGAGUGACGAAGGCUUUCGGGUUGUAAAGCUCUGUUCUCAGGGAAAAAGAAAGUGAUUGUACCUGAGAAGAAAGGACCGGCUAACUUCGUGCCAGCAGCCGCGGUAAGACGAGGGGUUCAAGCGUUGUUCGGAAUCAUUGGGCGUAAAGCGGGCGUAGGCGGCUCUGUAAGUCAGGAGUGAAAGCCCCGAGCUUAACUCGGGAAGUGCUUUUGAUACUGCGGAGCUUGAAUGUGGGAGAGGGUAGUGGAAUUCCAGGUGUAGUGGUGAAAUACGUAGAUAUCUGGAGGAACACCGGUGGCGAAGGCGGCUACCUGGCCCAACAUUGACGCUGAGGUCCGAAAGCGUGGGGAUCAAACAGGAUUAGAUACCCCUGUAGUCC
Molecule: ribosomal RNA, 427 nt
Filed under: uncultured bacterium
Lineage: Bacteria
Description: bacterial SSU rRNA
Rfam family: Bacterial small subunit ribosomal RNA
Source: RNAcentral